This 73-nucleotide transfer RNA is filed under the name Phycisphaerales bacterium. Its description in RNAcentral is "tRNA-Lys". It matches the Rfam family "tRNA". Rfam says of the family: Transfer RNA (tRNA) molecules are approximately 80 nucleotides in length. Their secondary structure includes four short double-helical elements and three loops (D, anti-codon, and T loops). Further hydrogen bonds mediate the characteristic L-shaped molecular structure. tRNAs have two regions of fundamental functional importance: the anti-codon, which is responsible for specific mRNA codon recognition, and the 3' end, to which the tRNAs corresponding amino acid is attached (by aminoacyl-tRNA synthetases). tRNAs cope with the degeneracy of the genetic code in two manners: having more than one tRNA (with a specific anti-codon) for a particular amino acid; and 'wobble' base-pairing, i.e. permitting non-standard base-pairing at the 3rd anti-codon position. The record is from RNAcentral. Lineage: Bacteria; Pseudomonadati; Planctomycetota; Phycisphaerae; Phycisphaerales.
GCCUUCUUAGCUCAGUUGGUAGAGCAGCUGACUCUUAAUCAGCGGGUCGAAGGUUCGAGUCCUUCAGGAGGCA